CCAAGCUGGGAUGUUUGCUAGCAUACUUUGACUCUUCGUCCGGGAUAAAUCCUAUUGUGGAAAAACUACCAUACGGACUCCAAGAAAAGUGGAUCACAAGGGCUUCAAGAUACAAGUCCAAAUAUGAAGUUGCCUUUCCGCCAUUCACAGAAUUUUCUGCCUUCAUCAGGGAAAUGAGCAAAAUUAAGAACGAUCCUGGGUUCAUCUUUGGAUCAAAAGUAACACCA
Molecule: long non-coding RNA, 227 nt
Filed under: Mytilus galloprovincialis (Mediterranean mussel)
Lineage: Eukaryota; Metazoa; Mollusca; Bivalvia; Mytilida; Mytilidae
Source: RNAcentral